AUGGAUUGCAACUUCCUUGUCUGGAACGUGCAUGGGCUGAAUAACCCCGCACGUCGUGCUGUUGUUCACUCUGUUGUUUCCAACAACAAUGUAUCUGUCCUCUGCUUGCAAGAGUUAAAGCUAGAUUUCGUUGAUUUGGGUGUUUUCCAGCAGUGUUGUGGGAGCCGGUUCUUUGAUUUUUUCUUCGCACCUGCAGUUGGUACUAGGGGAGGGUUGAUUCUGGCUUGGGACAGUGCGAUGGUCAAGUUCUGUAAUCCGAUCAUUACUACUAGGUUCAUUGCUGCUGAAGGCACUUUUAUUCAGUCAGGUUCAAAGUUCAAUCUGAUCAAUGUCUAUGGCCCACAAGAUGAUCAAGCCAAGUUAGUGCUGCUUGAUGAGCUCAAACUAACUAUGUCAAGUGGUUUGCCUGCCGGUGCUCCUUGCAUUUUAGCAAGGGAUUUCAACUUGAUUGCUAGAGCCACAGACAAGAAUAACCUGAACAUCAACAGAAGGUUGUUGGCUGCUUUUAGAAAUUUUAUCAAUGAGUUGCAGCUUCGAGAUCUGUACCUACAUGGCCGGCGCUAUACAUGGAGCAACGAGCAGGCAAAUGCCACCAUGGUCAAGCUGGAUAGAGUUCUCUUUAAUGAGGAAUGGGAUGCUCUGUUUCCUAGUUGUCUGCUACAAGCACUUUCUACCGAGAUGUCCGACCACUGUCCUGGCAGCGGACAACCUACGUAA
This 717-nucleotide ribosomal RNA is filed under the name Triticum aestivum (bread wheat). RNAcentral's name for it is "partial small subunit ribosomal RNA". The record is from RNAcentral. Lineage: Eukaryota; Viridiplantae; Streptophyta; Magnoliopsida; Poales; Poaceae.